UGAGGAAUAUUGGUCAAUGGGCGUAAGCCUGAACCAGCCAAGUCGCGUGAAGGGUGACUGCCCUAUGGGUUGUAAACUUCUUUUGUAAGGGGAGAAUAAAUUCUACGUGUAGGAUGAUGACAGUACCUUACGAAUAAGCAUCGGCUAACUCCGUGCCAGCAGCCGCGGUAAUACGGAGGAUGCGAGCGUUAUCCGGAUUUAUUGGGUUUAAAGGGUGCGUAGGCGGGCUUGUAAGUUGAAUGUAUAAUCCACCGGCUUAACCGGUGAUCGCGUUCAAAACUGCAGGUCUUGAGUGAAGUAGAGGCAGGCGGAAUUCCUAGUGUAGCGGUGAAAUGCGUAGAUAUUAGGAGGAACACCAGUGGCGAAGGCGGCCUGCUGGGCUUUAACUGACGCUGAGGCUCGAAAGCGUGGGGAGCAAACA
This 421-nucleotide ribosomal RNA is filed under the name uncultured bacterium. RNAcentral describes it as "bacterial SSU rRNA". It matches the Rfam family "Bacterial small subunit ribosomal RNA", at positions 355 to 774 of the family's 1533-position model. The record is from RNAcentral.